UAUCAAUAUUCAAUGUUCAAUAACAAUGCACUUCUGUGUUGGUACACUGAUUCUGGUAUCCAAUGAAAAGAACAAAAUAACGUGUCAGUAUGUGUCCUCGCUGCAUCUCUCUCAAGAAAUAUUUCUCAAGAAAUAUUCGUUCAGUUCAUCACUUGAAUAAUUGUCAGUAGAUUAAUUAUCAGUACAUGAUGAUAUGUUGCAAUGAUGCGCACCUCCAGGUAAAAUAUAUUAAAAUAGAUCAUCAUGUACUGAUAAUUAAUCUACUGACAACAACAAAAAGUAAUACAAUAGUAUCUCACACACACAAUGUUUAUCAAUAUACAAAAGGAAUAUGCUGCAAUGAUUCGCGCAUCCUGGUAAAAUAGUUAAAAGUACCGUAAAAUCCCGCCAGAGCGCCCCGUCUCUCCCAUCCGCCCCUCCCUGACUUCUUGUCAGGGACGUGAUUGAUUGUAUCCUCGUAUGACUCUGUUGCAGUCUGUGAUGCCGUACUGCACUGCAGACGCGUGCUCGACCCCGUUGGAAAUGUACGCAACAGUGCCCACCCUCCUGACCAGGGAUCGCACAAACCCUGCGUUUUGUCGGGUCUGUUCGACUCCUGGCUCUUGACCUUUGGUCGGUGUACGAGAUGCACGAACAGUUUUCGUAGGCUGCGCAAGGAAUUCAAACUGACGCACUGUCACUAUCAACGUUAUCAUUGCUGAGAUCAUCACUCGUACACGCAGCUGAUCAAUCACUAUCGGACACACGAGUCGUCACAAUCUGAGUUUGGCUGGGCAUGAUUGGACUCAGUUUCCAGUUGCGAUACGUCACCGGACGUACUUUGCUGUGGUGGUUGCUCUGGCCUACUGUUGAGCGGACUUGCGCAUGUACCUUCGCAGCGGCAGAUGUCAGUGCACGCAAGAGAUGACUUCUUGCAUGAGCAGCGUUGAGUGUCACACACUCCUCGGCACCCGCAGCUGAUGAGGCUCUGAAGUUCUUUUGGCACUGCCUGCUGUUCUGUCCAAUUCACAGCAACUCUGCCUGAAGGAAGAAACAAACAUUGUCACAGACAGUUAAUUUAUUCAUCGCGUAUAUUUUUGCAGUAGACAGUCAUAGAUAUCUGGUUAAAUGGGAAGGGCAGCACUGUAUCCUUUAUCCUUUUAUCUGCUAAUUACAAUUCUUUCAACCUUGCAGUAUGUUUCUCAAUAUCCGCAGACUCCACUGUAGCCUUUGUAGACGCGUACCAUACCAUAAUAAUUACACAAGUGUAAAUUUCCUCACGCAUAACUUGAUCCAAAGUUGGGUACAUUAUCGGUGCUAAUUAUUUAUCGGAACAACUUACCGUCGCUGUCUUGAA
Long non-coding RNA from Sycon ciliatum, 1336 nucleotides. RefSeq lists it as uncharacterized. Lineage: Eukaryota; Metazoa; Porifera; Calcarea; Leucosolenida; Sycettidae. The transcript has 2 exons. The record is from RefSeq and is a predicted model, not a curated record.